This 292-nucleotide long non-coding RNA is filed under the name Mytilus galloprovincialis (Mediterranean mussel). The record is from RNAcentral. Lineage: Eukaryota; Metazoa; Mollusca; Bivalvia; Mytilida; Mytilidae.
CCAGAUGGAACUUUAAAACUUUGUAUGUUGGGCCGAAUUUCCCAAUCCUAUAAAGGGCUUUUAGUAAUCGGAGUAUUGUUGGCUUUGGGAAUUUGCUCUGUCUCCAUUUCAGAAAAAAAUUUCUUGUUUGUUCCAGAAGUUUAUUCUUAUGUUCAGGCUGAAUCUGUUGUAUAUAAGAUACAUCUAUUUCUAACUUGAUUGCAAGUUGCAUGGAACUGUUUCCAAUGUGGUUAGACAAAUCAUAAAGUACGUCAACUGGCGGAAGUUUGUUUAAGACCUCUUCUGACAUAUC